AAAGCAUCAUACUGUACCGGUUAUAUAUCAAAAUGAGAAGGGAUUGAUAAUCGUCUUGAUAAGUGCAAAAGGAUUGCGAAACGAUCGAUCGUUAUUCCAGAUAUAUCUGCAGGCUGUCACUUCAAGAUUAUUGAUUAGAACCACCAAUUGAUCGUAAGAAGCCUCAUUGAUUUUAGACCUCGAUAUUUCCCGCGGCCUCAAUACCAUCAUU
This is a long non-coding RNA of Camponotus floridanus (Florida carpenter ant), 211 nucleotides long. RefSeq lists it as uncharacterized. The transcript is spliced from 3 exons. The record is from RefSeq and is a predicted model, not a curated record. NCBI's taxonomy places the organism in Eukaryota, Metazoa, Arthropoda, Insecta, Hymenoptera, Formicidae.